CCCUUGAAUUCCUGAUAUCAUUCCUAUGCUAUGCUUUCAGGUGGGAAGUUUUUGAGAUUAUUAUGCUUAUCUUGGAAAUUGCAAAAUGUAAGAACUCUCACACAAUCGCAGCAAAAAUAUUGUUGGAAGAAAAUGUUUCAAAGAAACUGGAUAUUCUGUCACUAAAAAAUGAUUUUGCUCGUUGAAAGAUAUCUGAAAGAUGCCAGACAGCCAACACAGCCAGACAGAAGAAAGGGAUGUAUCGGGAGAAGAGGUUUGAGAAUUCCUAGUGUAGAAUAUAGUAUAGUGCACGUGUCAUUGCAUUGGAAUAUAAUUCUCAAGAAUAUAAGUUGUGUGUACCGUGUUAG
Molecule: long non-coding RNA, 347 nt
Organism: Octopus sinensis (East Asian common octopus)
Lineage: Eukaryota; Metazoa; Mollusca; Cephalopoda; Octopoda; Octopodidae
Exons: 4
Source: RefSeq, a predicted model, not a curated record